CAUCUUGACGGUACCUAAUCAGAAAGCCACGGCUAACUACGUGCCAGCAGCCGCGGUAAUACGUAGGUGGCAAGCGUUAUCCGGAAUUAUUGGGCGUAAAGCGCGCGUAGGCGGUUUUUUAAGUCUGAUGUGAAAGCCCACGGCUCAACCGUGGAGGGUCAUUGGAAACUGGAAAACUUGAGUGCAGAAGAGGAAAGUGGAAUUCCAUGUGUAGCGGUGAAAUGCGCAGAGAUAUGGAGGAACACCAGUGGCGAAGGCGACUUUCUGGUCUGUAACUGACGCUGAUGUGCGAAAGCGUGGGGAUCAAACAGGAUUAGAUACCCUGGUAGUCCACGCCGUAAACGAUGAGUGCUAAGUGUUAGG
RNAcentral lists this ribosomal RNA (363 nucleotides) under Staphylococcus aureus. Its description in RNAcentral is "bacterial SSU rRNA". It matches the Rfam family "Bacterial small subunit ribosomal RNA", at positions 465 to 827 of the family's 1533-position model. Lineage: Bacteria; Bacillati; Bacillota; Bacilli; Caryophanales; Staphylococcaceae. The record is from RNAcentral.